Molecule: ribosomal RNA, 1230 nt
Filed under: Clostridioides difficile
Lineage: Bacteria; Bacillati; Bacillota; Clostridia; Peptostreptococcales; Peptostreptococcaceae
Description: bacterial LSU rRNA
Rfam family: Bacterial large subunit ribosomal RNA
Source: RNAcentral
GGAGGUCCGAACCCACGAGCGUUGAAAAGCUCGGGGAUGACUUGUGGGUAGCGGUGAAAUUCCAAUCGAGCCCGGAGAUAGCUGGUUCUCCCCGAAAUAGCUUUAGGGCUAGCCUCAAGGUGAGAGAUACGGAGGUAGAGCACUGAAUGUCCUAGGGGGUAUUGCACCUACCGAAGACUAUCAAACUCCGAAUGCCGUCAUCUUAUACUUGGGAGUCAGACUGUGGGUGAUAAGAUUCAUAGUCGAAAGGGCAACAGCCCAGAUCGUCAGCUAAGGUCCCUAAAUGUAAGUUAAGUGGUAAAGGAUGUGGGAUUGCACAGACAACCAGGAUGUUGGCUUAGAAGCAGCCACUCAUUCAAAGAGUGCGUAAUAGCUCACUGGUCGAGUGAUCCUGCGCCGAAGAUUUCCGGGGCUAAAACUUACUACCGAAGCUACGGCAUCAGUAAUGAUGGGUAGUGUAGCUUCCCAUGCGUUUUGAACCACAACCGUAACUACAUCUGGACCGUAUGGUACUGUGAAUGCUGGCAUGAUUCGCGAGCUGUGGGUGAGAAUCCCACAGGCCGUAAACCCAAGUUUUCCAGGGGCAUGUUCGUCCGUCCUGUGUUAGUCGGGACCUAAGCUGAGGCCGAAAGGCGUAGGUGAUGGACAACAGGUUGAUAUUCCUGUACUACCGAUAACCGUUUGAGAGAAGGGAUGACACAGUAGGAUAAGCUAAGCACACUGUUGGUUAUGUGUGCUCAAGCAUUGAGGCAGUCAUAGUAGGCAAAUCCGCUUUGAUAAUGCUGGGAUGUGAUGGGGAGCGAAAUUUAGUAGCGAAGUAGCUGAUUUCACACUGUCAAGAAAAGUCUCUAUCGAGGGUAAAGGUACCCGUACCGCAAACCGACACAGGUGGGUGAGGAGAGUAUCCUAAGGCCAGCGAGAGAACUGUUGUUAAGGAACUCGGCAAAAUGACCCCGUAACUUAGGGAUAAGGGGUGCCACCAUUAGGUGGCCGCAGAGAAUAGGCCCAAGCGACUGUUUACCAAAAACAUAGGUUUCUGCUAAGUCGCAAGACGAUGUAUAGGAGCUGACGCCUGCCCGGUGCUGGAAGGUUAAGGGGAUCUGUUAGAGUAAUCGAAGCAGUGAACUUAAGCCCCAGUAAACGGCGGCCGUAACUAUAACGGUCCUAAGGUAGCGAAAUUCCUUGUCGGGUAAGUUCCGACCCGCACGAAAGGCGUAACGAUUUGGGCAC